This 1159-nucleotide long non-coding RNA is filed under the name Homo sapiens (human). RNAcentral's name for it is "non-protein coding FLG-AS1:16". Lineage: Eukaryota; Metazoa; Chordata; Mammalia; Primates; Hominidae. The record is from RNAcentral.
AUCAGACUUAGCAGCAUCUUCCUGUCCCAAGAGAAGAGGGGAUGGGAGGAUGGCAUGGUUCAGGGCUUAGGGGAGGAUAGGGGAGAAAAAGUGGAAGCAAAGGGAGAGGCCCAGGAAGGAUUUUGUUGCGACAUGUUACCUGGGCUGCACCUGCUGUAUGCAAGAGAAGAGGCUGGGAGUCCCCUCUGCAGGGUGUUCAUGCCCCAUCUCUGUGCCACGAGGAGUUGGGCUGCUGAAGGAUUUUUCCUCUUAGGAUUUAUUUCCCUGGAGACCUCAUGAAGAAUGAUGUGGGUUCUAUAGGGUACAGUGUGAUCUGGGUCCUGCCUAAUCUCCUUUCUAAACUUCAGAAAAUCAUGUGUGCUGACAGCUUUUAAUCACAGUUCAGUAAUGAAUUUAGUUAUAACAAUGAAUAUUUAUUUGGUUAUCAGCAAGUGGCUUAUUGAGUAUAUUUCCAAGUGAAUACAUGGAAAGUGUGAGGCUAAGGCAGAGAAGCAGUAAGUCAUAAUAUUAACCAUUGGUUAUUUAUCAGUGUUGUUAAUAUUAACCAUUGACUGUUUAUUAAUGUUGUUAAUAUUCUUGCAAAUCCAGUCAUUUGAACUCCUGACAACAGAGAUCAUGUCAAAAAGUUCAAGUUUCUGAGUCCUGGAGGCCAGAGAAUGGAGAUAGUCUAUAUUCCUAACCAGAAAUCUCUUCAUCAUCCGUGUAUCACCUAAGGAUGCAAUAUUUUUUAGUGGACAGGAAUAGAAGCUUUGGCAUUUUACUGCCUGGGAAUAAAAUCUGCUUGGGUACUUAUAAAAUGCCUAAUGCCAAAGAAUAAAGUUUAAUUUUGGAAUGAGCUAAAAUUCUUUUUGGAAAUAGCUGCAGUUUACAUAAAUAAAAUAAGUACUUGAAUUCAGUGCAGUGCCCUGGGAGAUGGCAAGCUCUUAAGCACUUUACGCUCUGUGGGAUCCUGAGUACCUUGGAGUUGUGGAGGCAUGUUUAUAAGCAGAUCUGAGUUUUGCCACACUGGAAUUUAUUUAUUCAUUGAACAAAUAUUUAAUACCUACUACAAUUCUUAGCCGUAAGUAUUUGAAAUUUAUGAUAUGAGUUUGACCCGAUUCCUGGUUUGGUUGCCACUGGUGAAAUUCUGAUUUGUUUGUACUCUGUUUUGUCUACUUUG